RNAcentral lists this ribosomal RNA (433 nucleotides) under uncultured bacterium. RNAcentral describes it as "partial 16S ribosomal RNA". It matches the Rfam family "Bacterial small subunit ribosomal RNA", at positions 29 to 507 of the family's 1533-position model. The record is from RNAcentral.
AACGAACGCUGGCGGCAUGCCUAACACAUGCAAGUCGAACGAGACCUUCGGGUCUAGUGGCGCACGGGUGCGUAACGCGUGGGAACCUGCCCUUAGGUUCGGAAUAACUCCUCGAAAGGGGUGCUAAUACCGGAUAAUUUACUCGGACCCCAGAUUGAUCGCCCUUGUAUGGGCCCGCGUUGGAUUAGCUUGUUGGUAGGGUAAAAGCCUACCACGGCAAGGAUCCAUAGCUGGUAUGAGAGGAAGAGCAGCCACACUGGGACGGAGACGCGGCCCGGACUCCUAGGGGAGGCAGCAAAGGGUAAUAUUGGAAUAUCGGCCGAAGGCUGAACCAGCUAGGCUGGGAGAGUGAUGAAGGCGUGAGAGAAGUAAAGCUCGUUUAUCCGGGAUGGUAAUGACAGUACCGGAAGAAUAAGCACCGGCUAACUCCGUG